This 119-nucleotide ribosomal RNA is filed under the name Xenopus tropicalis (tropical clawed frog). Lineage: Eukaryota; Metazoa; Chordata; Amphibia; Anura; Pipidae. The record is from RNAcentral.
GCCUACGGCCAUACCACCCUGAAAGCGCCCGAUCUCGUCUGAUCUCGGAAGCUAAGUAGGGACGGGCUUGGUUAGUACCUGGAUGGGAGACCGCCUGGGAAUACCAGGUGUUGUAGGCU